AUGAACGGAGGCCCUGCUGGUUCACUCAGUUCAGUUAACAUGGAGGCCUGCAGACGGUGCGUUCACUGCGCCCUCGUCGCGUCUCUGCUCCUGGGUUCGUCGCUCCAGCAGGACACGGAAGUCGGGAAGAACAUCAACCAGGACAUGGCCUUAAACAUAAAACACUACGUUGAAGAUUAUCACAAAUUCGUGAGCUCUUUGAACGUCCCAUCAGUCGAGUCAGACGCCAACGACCACCAGCAACGAGACCCGAGGGUCAGAAGGAGAAGAGUAAGGGACCUGACCUGGCGGGACCUGGACCUGAUUGUGGAGCGGGCCCCCGUGCCCCCGUACCAGAAGGGGCCCAUGGACGUGGUUCUGCCGCUGCUGCACGGCCUCCUGCUGGGCUUCGGAGGCACCUUCCUCGCGAGCGUCUCCAUCCUCCUCAUCCUCGCCCACGUGUCCCGCAGAGGGACGCGUGGACCCCCCGGGGUCACCGCCGGCUCCGGCUGCGAGCGGAUGGUUGGAGAUGCGGGCGACGGGGCGGCUCACGCGCCCUCGCACGCGCCUGUGAGCAGAACCAACGCGGUAGCGAGGCGGAAACCAGACCAUAACUAAUUGUGACAAACCUGAGCACAAUCCAGCCAUUUUCCACGCGCUUGUGUCCACGCCUCUGCUGUAAAGCGGGACCGACUGUUUCUGGUCCGUCGGUGCCUCGUCGCGCGACAGAUGCGCUGGAAUCGGGCCCUCGCGCCAAAGGUUGUUGUGGUGUUACAGUGAUAGCGAUGCCCCCCCCCCCCCCCCUCCUCCUCCUCCUCUAAGUGACGGCACCGUGCCCGCCUGGCAUCGAACAACAGCUAAUUAUCCAGGACUAAUAACCACGAGGCCGCUAGCAGACAAUGGAGCGCCCGGUCGCCACGGUAACAGACGACGCGUACGAAGUCUGGAGGACGCCGCUGAAACCGCCCGAUACCUGAUGAAGAGGGGCCGUGCAAAUAAAUAAAAAUGUCCACGUCA
This 996-nucleotide long non-coding RNA is filed under the name Betta splendens (Siamese fighting fish). RNAcentral's name for it is "lncRNA (ENSBSLG00000009607.1)". The record is from RNAcentral. Lineage: Eukaryota; Metazoa; Chordata; Actinopteri; Anabantiformes; Osphronemidae.